CCCCUCCAGCUUCCACGGCGCCCGCCCUCCUCUACCUCACAUGACGCACGGGGUCACUACCUUCUCGUUCCCCGCACACGACGGCCGUACAGUUUGACGUGCAGGUGGAGAGGAGAGGCGAUGGCUCCUUCCCUGGGCAGCGCCGGUGCUCACCCUGCCUCUCCACAGCCAGCGAACAAUGGGACUGGUCUCGACGAUGCUAGAAGACGGCGGCGACGGUGAACGAGGGUGGGGCGGCUGGCUUGACGGCCCCUCCAGCUCCCCUGCCACCGCAGCCGCUGAGGACGUCGUCCUCGUCCGUGCCGCCGAUGACGGCGUGCCUCCACUUGAUGGCGCUGCCCCUCGCCCUCCGGCCGACACCCGCAGCUAUCGUGGCCCGCACUCGGGUUCCUGUAACCGCCGAGAACGGCAGCUUCUCUCCGCGCUCCCGUGGCCUUCCCCGCCGUCGCGUUCAAAGCGUGGCUAUACGGUGCCGCUCGAGCACGAAGCCGGCCACGUUCCACGCAUCCCAUCGCCCCGCACCCGCUCAACGGCCUUCCUGGAGCAGUCCGAGGCCACUGCCGCCACUUCCGUCUAAUAGGUCGCCCCCUCCCCUGUCCCCGCAGUUCCUCCCCGACGUCAGUUGCUCCCACCACAGCUGCGAUGCUGCCCCGCGCUCGUCGCGUGCACGUAUGCCGCGUACAUGCCAUGACGCGACGGCGACAGCGAAUGACCGCGGGACACCUCGCGUGACGGCGAGGUAAGCCAUGCGAUCAGCGGGACGGCACGAUUUGCCGGUGGGGUUGCCGAGCGGCGGCGCAGCAGCUCGCAACGACGUGUGCGAUGAUGUGACAACUAAGAUGCCCUAUAUGUGUUCGGUGAAAUGUGCACAAGUCAUCCGAGCGUCCAGCGGCCUGAUCACAGCCGCGGUCAGCACACGCAGCAUCGACCACCCACCUGUGGCUAAUGAAGCUUAAUAUUCAAGCUGGGUGGCAUGACAUCUUGGGGAUCCGGAGCGCACGAAGGGCUGUAGGGCACAGCGGCUCACGCGCAUGGCAGGUCAGCGAUUGGGCUAGCUGGACCGCGAGUGGGGUUAGCGUACACUCAGCUUCAGCACUGGCUCUCCCUCCUCUCCGGCAUUGUAUUCUCUGCAUGGCACUUUACACUUCCUAGAUGGCCAAGCAGGUGCACAAGGAUGGAGAUGCCCAUCAGACAACUCAUUAUCAUGAUUGGGCGCGGUGCCACAUGAUUCGGUGAUCCCCUGGUGUGCCACAAGUGGUACACAAGCUUGCUGCAUCCAUCCGUCAUCAUCUGCGGUGCAAAUAAUUCGGUGUCAUAUGCCGGUUGUAGAGAAGGGCAACACGCACUAUGAUAGAGGAAAAGGAGAACGCAACCUCAGCGUCAAUUUUUUAUCACAGGACUUGCACCUCGAAAGGCCCAAUGGUUUAGAAACUCAGGC
Molecule: long non-coding RNA, 1438 nt
Organism: Phragmites australis (common reed)
Lineage: Eukaryota; Viridiplantae; Streptophyta; Magnoliopsida; Poales; Poaceae
Exons: 4
Source: RefSeq, a predicted model, not a curated record